Lacerta agilis (Sand lizard) is the source of this 193-nucleotide long non-coding RNA. RefSeq lists it as uncharacterized. The record is from RefSeq and is a predicted model, not a curated record. NCBI's taxonomy places the organism in Eukaryota, Metazoa, Chordata, Lepidosauria, Squamata, Lacertidae. The transcript has 3 exons.
UGAAUAAACAUACUUGGGUUGCCUCUGUUUCUUCUGUGAAUGGGAGAACACCUUACAUUAGUGCAAGGGAUGAAUAUCCAGAGAAGGCUCCCAAAGAAGAAAGAGGAGGUUUGAGUGGGGAACAGGAAGAAGAAUAUUGUAUUGUAGUUCCUUUGCUUGAACAUUUACAGUCUACUGAAUCUUGCUAUCCAGA